CAAGUCUCAAUGCAUCAAUACCAGUAAGUCUUUGACUACUGCUCGCUUGAACUGAUUAAUGCAUAAAUAAUAUAUAACUUUCUGAAGACUGGACGUGGUAAACUAAUAACUGAGCUUUAUAUGCUGUGUAUAUAAAGCAAUAAAAUCGUUUCUGAGAUUAUCUGCUCUUUCAUUUUUGCAUGGAAAAAUGAUAAACACCAUACGAGGAUUCUUUGGGAUCUGUUAAUGUGAAGCUAGAAUGCCAAUGACUUGAAAGUUGACAUUUAGUCAAAGCUCGUGUCUGUUCCCUGCUGAAGUAAAACUUCCGACUAAUCCUUACAAAGUGAAAACAAAUAAAAUCCUGUUUUCUUGAUGGCAACUAAUGUCCAAUUGUCCAACUUUAACAAAAAAUAUAUAUUUUUUAAAUUUCCCUCAGGCUGCCAAAUACAGCUCCAAAUCAAGGCAUUCUGAUAUGCUUCCCAUUUCACCUAUUUGCCCAAAACCAAAUGUAAAACCCGUGGAAUUAUGUCCAACAUAUAUCCCCCACCACACAAUCCUGAUAAUUUUAUAAAAAUACUAUAUUAAUCAGUACUUAGGAAUAGGGUAUUCCUUUUUCUUCUUUUCUUUCUCCUCAUUUUAUGUCUCUCUCUUUAAUUCAUUAGCUGAGUCAAUGUUCAUGAAGUUGAGGGCAAACUCAACUUCACAAAAAUUAAAAACUCAUCAAACCACCAAGCUAGUUUUAUAUAUUAUUGUGUUAUGUAGAAGAACCCUGCUAUCAAGUGUAGCUGAGAAUAUGGAGGAAAGAAAAGAAUGAGAGAAAAGACAGAGAGAAGAGAAAGAAAAGAAUUUAGAGAGAGAAGAAUGAG
RNAcentral lists this unclassified non-coding RNA (845 nucleotides) under Hevea brasiliensis (rubber tree). The record is from RNAcentral. Lineage: Eukaryota; Viridiplantae; Streptophyta; Magnoliopsida; Malpighiales; Euphorbiaceae.